GACGAACGCUGGCGGCGUGCUUAACACAUGCAAGUCGAGCGGUAAGGCUCCUUCGGGAGUACACGAGCGGCGAACGGGUGAGUAACACGUGAGCAAUCUGCCCUUCUCUUCGGAAUAAGCGUUGGAAACGACGUCUAAUGCCGAAUACGACCUCCUUUCGCAUGAUCGGAGGUGGAAAGCUCCGGCGGAGAAGGAUGAGCUCGCGGCCUAUCAGCUAGUUGGGUGGGUAAUGGCCCACCAAGGCGACGACGGGUAGCCGGCCUGAGAGGGUGACCGGCCACACUGGGACUGAGACACGGCCCAGACUCCUACGGGAGGCAGCAGUGGGGAAUAUUGGACAAUGGGCGAAAGCCUGAUCCAGCAACGCCGCGUGAGGGAUGACGGCCUCGGUUGUAA
Molecule: ribosomal RNA, 396 nt
Filed under: uncultured bacterium
Lineage: Bacteria
Description: bacterial SSU rRNA
Rfam family: Bacterial small subunit ribosomal RNA
Source: RNAcentral